UGCUCACUUCAGCAGUAUACUAAAACUGGAACAAUACAGAGAUUAGCAUGGUACCUACACAAGAAUGACAGGCAAAUUUAUAAAGCAUUUCAUAUUUUU
This 99-nucleotide small nuclear RNA is filed under the name Castor canadensis (American beaver). The record is from RNAcentral. Lineage: Eukaryota; Metazoa; Chordata; Mammalia; Rodentia; Castoridae.